RNAcentral lists this ribosomal RNA (425 nucleotides) under uncultured cyanobacterium. RNAcentral's name for it is "bacterial SSU rRNA". It matches the Rfam family "Bacterial small subunit ribosomal RNA", at positions 356 to 795 of the family's 1533-position model. The record is from RNAcentral. Lineage: Bacteria; Bacillati; Cyanobacteriota.
GGGGAAUUUUCCGCAAUGGGCGAAAGCCGGACGGAGCAAUACCGCGUGAGGGAGGAGGGCUCUUGGGUCGUAAACCUCUUUUCUCAGGGAAGAACACAAUGACGGUACCUGAGGAAUAAGCAUCGGCUAACUCCGUGCCAGCAGCCGCGGUAAUACGGAGGAUGCAAGCGUUAUCCGGAAUGAUUGGGCGUAAAGCGUCCGCAGGUGGCAAUGUAAGUCUGCUGUUAAAGAGUGAGGCUCAACCUCAUAAGAGCAGUGGAAACUACAUAGCUAGAGUACGUUCGGGGCAGAGGGAAUUCCUGGUGUAGCGGUGAAAUGCGUAGAGAUCAGGAAGAACACCGGUGGCGAAGGCGCUCUGCUAGGCCGUAACUGACACUGAGGGACGAAAGCUAGGGGAGCGAAAGGGAUUAGAUACCCCUGUAGUC